RNAcentral lists this ribosomal RNA (581 nucleotides) under Fiorinia theae. Its description in RNAcentral is "partial large subunit ribosomal RNA". Lineage: Eukaryota; Metazoa; Arthropoda; Insecta; Hemiptera; Diaspididae. The record is from RNAcentral.
AUCUGGGCGGCGGAAUUCAGGAUGGCUGGCGGGCUUCGCGCUUGUCCGGUCGUUUGAUAUUUCCGUCGCCGUGUCGGACGUCGCGACCUGUUCGUCGUCGGUCCMUGCUCGGAGGAAUCGCGAUCGAGUUCGUUGCGYGGUGCGUUUCGGCGUGCCRUGCGGCGAAGACGUGRCUCUCUGGCUGACGGCGGACAGUAAGCAACGGUGUCCGGCGUCGUGUCUCGCACUCGAUGCCGGUGCCGGUCUGCGACGAUUUCUUCGGGCCUCUUUCCGACCCGUCUUGAAACACGGACCAAGGAGUCUAACAUGCGCGCGAGUCGCGGGGUUUCGAGCGUACCACGGUGCGCUCGUUACUUGCGAAACCCGUACGUUGAAGGCGUAAUGAAAGUGAACAGGGAAGAUGGCGUUCCGAGUCCACGUACCGUGAUCGAGUGUCGCGGCCGGACGUCCGCACUCCCGGGGCGUCUCAAUGGCUCGUCGCGGACGCGGACGGUCGUCUCUCGGGGCGAUCGUCGGUCUGCGUCGGACCGAGGCGCACCUAUAGCGUGCACGUUGGUACCCGAAAGAUGGUGAACUAUGCC